This 439-nucleotide ribosomal RNA is filed under the name uncultured bacterium. RNAcentral's name for it is "partial 16S ribosomal RNA". It matches the Rfam family "Bacterial small subunit ribosomal RNA", at positions 339 to 795 of the family's 1533-position model. The record is from RNAcentral.
CUACGGGGUGCAGCAGUGGGGAAUAUUGCACAAUGGAGGAAACUCUGAUGCAGCAACGCCGCGUGGAGGAUGACACUUUUCGGAGCGUAAACUCCUUUUAUAUAGGAAGAAGAUGACGGUACUAUAUGAAUAAGCGCCGGCUAACUCCGUGCCAGCAGCCGCGGUAAUACGGAGGGCGCAAGCGUUACUCGGAAUCACUGGGCUUAAAGAGCGUGUAGGCGGAUUAAAAAGUCAGAAGUGAAAUCCUAUAGCUUAACUAUAGAACUGCUUCUGAAACUCUUAAUCUAGAAUAUGGGAGAGGUAGAUGGAAUUUCUGGUGUAGGGGUAAAAUCCGUAGAGAUCAGAAGGAAUACCGAUUGCGAAGGCGAUCUACUAGAACAUUAUUGACGCUGAGACGCGAAAGCGUGGGGAGCAAACAGGAUUAGAUACCCCCGUAGUC